This 253-nucleotide ribosomal RNA is filed under the name uncultured bacterium. Its description in RNAcentral is "partial 16S ribosomal RNA". It matches the Rfam family "Bacterial small subunit ribosomal RNA", at positions 524 to 776 of the family's 1533-position model. The record is from RNAcentral.
GACAGAGGGUGCAAACGUUGUUCGGAAUUACUGGGCGUAAGGCGCGUGUAGGCGGCUCGGCAAGUCGGGUGUGAAAGCCCUGGGCUUAACCUAGGAAGUGCACUCGAAACUGCCAAGCUUGAGUUCUGGAGAGGAAAGCGGAAUUCUCGGUGUAGAGGUGAAAUUCGUAGAUAUCGAGAGGAACACCGGUGGCGAAGGCGGCCUUCUGGACAGCAACUGACGCUGAGACGCGAAAGCGUGGGGAGCAAACAGG